RNAcentral lists this ribosomal RNA (550 nucleotides) under uncultured bacterium. Its description in RNAcentral is "bacterial SSU rRNA". It matches the Rfam family "Bacterial small subunit ribosomal RNA", at positions 355 to 896 of the family's 1533-position model. The record is from RNAcentral.
UGGGGAAUUUUGGACAAUGGGCGCAAGCCUGAUCCAGCCAUUCCGCGUGAGUGAAGAAGGCCUUCGGGUUGUAAAGCUCUUUCGCAAGGGAAGAAAACUUACAUUCUAAUAAAGUGUGAGGCUGACGGUACCUUGAUAAGAAGCACCGGCUAACUACGUGCCAGCAGCCGCGGUAAUACGUAGGGUGCGAGCGUUAAUCGGAAUUACUGGGCGUAAAGCGUGCGCAGGCGGUUUUGUAAGUCAGAUGUGAAAUCCCCGAGCUCAACUUGGGAACUGCGUUUGAAACUACAAGACUAGAAUAUGUCAGAGGGGGGUAGAAUUCCACGUGUAGCAGUGAAAUGCGUAGAGAUGUGGAGGAAUACCAAUGGCGAAGGCAGCCCCCUGGGAUAAUAUUGACGCUCAUGCACGAAAGCGUGGGGAGCAAACAGAAUUAGAUACCCUGGUAGUCCACGCCCUAAACGAUGUCUACUAGUUGUUGGUGGAGUAAAAUCCAUGAGUAACGCAGCUAACGCGUGAAGUAGACCGCCUGGGGAGUACGGUCGCAAGAUUA